Drosophila ananassae is the source of this 629-nucleotide long non-coding RNA. RefSeq lists it as uncharacterized. The transcript has 3 exons. The record is from RefSeq and is a predicted model, not a curated record. Lineage: Eukaryota; Metazoa; Arthropoda; Insecta; Diptera; Drosophilidae.
UGCUCAUGAGCACAUUUUCAUGGAUUUGGCUGACACUUCUGAAGCGAAUGCAUUAGCCGAACUGGAACGCAUCUUAGAUAAAAUGUCGGAAGCUCUUGGUGUUAUGAAACGUGCGGAAAAAUUGGAAUCAAGUAUACGAUUUCUAAACUCACAGUACCGAGAUGGUAUUCGCACUACCGCACGGUCAUUGAGUUGGGACUUACGUAAGUCCUGCAAGUUAAAAGUUUGUGAAGAUUUUUAUUACAAUCUGAAACCACUCAGCUUAGGAAAAUCUAAAUGCUUACAUAUUGAUAUGGUCCCUGAUACAUCAUUUUAUGUUGAAGCGAUGAAGGAAAUUGUACAGGGAAAAUAUAAUGAAAUUCCUAAAAAUGGAUUAGCACGACUUCGGACGGUUGAUCAAUUAAUAAAGGAACAAAUGGAAAAAAUUAUUCCAGUAUUUGAACGAGAUCUCAGGAAGGGUCAUGACAUAAUGAUGGAACAAGCCACAAACAUAAGAAAUAUUAUUGAUGCCGUCAUAAGUGAUAUUCACUUAAACACAUUGCAUUCUGCCAAGACUUACGAUGAUGUUUACGAAAGGUUCGGCCCAGACCGUAGAGUUUUCAGCAGUUUAGUCCUUGUGUUACUUUUUC